This 267-nucleotide unclassified non-coding RNA is filed under the name uncultured fungus. RNAcentral describes it as "partial contains 5.8S ribosomal RNA, internal transcribed spacer 2, and large subunit ribosomal RNA". The record is from RNAcentral. Lineage: Eukaryota; Fungi.
AACGCACAUUGCGCCCGCUAGUAUUCUGGCGGGCAUGCCUGUUCGAGCGUCAUUUCAACCCUCGGACCCCCGGCCUGCCGGGGGACCGGUGUUGGGGCUCGGGCGUCCUCAGCGGCGCCCGUCCCCUAAAUCCAGUGGCGGUCACGAUGUGUCCCUCCUCUGCGUAGUACUACACCUCGCAGCCUGGAGGACCGCGGGACCACGCCGUUAAACCCCCCACUUAUCAAGGUUGACCUCGGAUCAGGUAGGAAUACCCGCUGAACUUAA